This 1068-nucleotide long non-coding RNA is filed under the name Salmo salar (Atlantic salmon). RNAcentral's name for it is "lncRNA (ENSSSAG00000095530.1)". The record is from RNAcentral. Lineage: Eukaryota; Metazoa; Chordata; Actinopteri; Salmoniformes; Salmonidae.
CCUGGCGUCUGCUACUAGCUGGGCUAACCUGGUGUAUAGACUGUAGAUAAUUAGAAGACAGUGAGCAUCAAAUUGUGAAAUCAACACAGUAAUACUAGUGUUACCAGUUACUGUAAGUUACUGCCACAUGUUGAGCAAGACAUCACAUGUAUUAGAAUUGUACUCACACCCUCAGACACCAAAGGGAUAGUCUCUUGAAGUCCUCCAGAGUGGGCAGAAGCCUUCGGGACAGCAGGUACUCUUCGUCUGUAUCGCUGCAGGUCACCAACAACUAACUUUAACUUCCUUCAUACUGGACACAAACAUCACCGACAUUUGUAGUCUGUGGAUUGGGUGGGCUAUUUACAGAUGGACUAUGUACAGCUGCAGCGAUCGGUUAGCUGCUCAGAUAGCUGAUGUUUAAAGUUAGUGAGGGAAAUAUAAGUCUCCAGCUUCAGCAAUUUUUGCAAUUCGUUCCAGGCACUGGCAGCAGAGAACUGGAAGGAAAGGCGGCGUUGGCUUUGGGGAUGACCAGUGAGAUAUACCUGCUGGAGCGCGUGCUAGAGGACAGUCUGUUUCACAACAGUAACAACAGAACGGUUUCUGAUUGUCUGUGACAGGUGGCCGACACACCCUGUUUUAGACACACCAGUCCGCCCACGGGGAAAAAGUCUGAAUGUGCUUCAGGUGUGCACUGCAUACACAAUACUUCUUAGCCUCCAGAGCUUUUACUGUCAUUAAAAUCUUUUACUGCUGUCACGCCCUGAUCUGUUUCACCUGUCCACCCACCUCCAGGUGUCGCCCAUCUUCCCAAUUAUCCCCUGUGUAUUUAUACCUGUGUUCUCUGUCUGUUUGUUGACAGUUCGUCUUGUUCGUUCAAGUUUACCAGCGUUUUCCCUGUCAGCUCCUAUCAUUUCCCAGCCUCUCUUUUCUUGUCCUCCUGCUUUUUGACCUUUGCCUGCCUUGAUCCUGUACCCGCCCGCCUGACCUCUCUGCCUGCCCCUGACCCUGAGCCUUCCUGCCGUCCUGUACCUUUGCCUUACCCUGGAUUAUCGACCCCUGCCUGCCUUGACCUGUCUUUGCCUGCCC